This 253-nucleotide ribosomal RNA is filed under the name uncultured bacterium. RNAcentral describes it as "partial 16S ribosomal RNA". It matches the Rfam family "Bacterial small subunit ribosomal RNA", at positions 524 to 776 of the family's 1533-position model. The record is from RNAcentral.
UACGAAGGGGGCUAGCGUUGCUCGGAAUCACUGGGCGUAAAGGGUGCGUAGGCGGGUUUUUAAGUCAGAGGUGAAAUCCUGGAGCUCAACUCCAGAACUGCCUUUGAUACUGGAAGUCUUGAGUAUGGGAGAGGUGAGUGGAACUGCGAGUGUAGAGGUGAAAUUCGUAGAUAUUCGCAAGAACACCAGUGGCGAAGGCGGCUCACUGGCCCAUAACUGACGCUGAGGCACGAAAGCGUGGGGAGCAAACAGG